CAUAUGUAGCAGAUGUGGUGAACUCGGGCAUUAUAGAACUAGUUGUAAAGUUAACUUGCAAAGGUAAACAUAUGCACGGGUGGUGGAUGUAUUGGUUUGUUCAAAAAGUCAUAUCUCAUGAUUAAUGUUCAUCCACAACUGUUGCUGAUUGUCUUGUAGCUGCUGAUGUAUUACUACAUUUUAUGUAUUAAGACUGAUUGUGUUAAGACUGAUUGUGCCUUGUAGCUGCUGAUGUGUUAAGACUAAUGUAUUAAGACCGAGUAUGUGUGUGUGUUAUUGGUUAUUUGAUAUGGAUUGUUGU
Molecule: long non-coding RNA, 301 nt
Organism: Asparagus officinalis (garden asparagus)
Lineage: Eukaryota; Viridiplantae; Streptophyta; Magnoliopsida; Asparagales; Asparagaceae
Exons: 3
Source: RefSeq, a predicted model, not a curated record